Erythranthe guttata (spotted monkey flower) is the source of this 306-nucleotide non-coding RNA. NCBI's taxonomy places the organism in Eukaryota, Viridiplantae, Streptophyta, Magnoliopsida, Lamiales, Phrymaceae. The record is from Rfam.
GCCGAGCCACUAACGAAGGCUUGUAACCCGAGUGGGGGCUUUAAAGUGAUUGAACAUUGGGCUAGCGUAUCCAGCUGGGCCGAAGUUGGCUGAUUGCUGGCUUGCCCAUUCCAAGUGUGGAGUUGGGCUAUGUGGCUCGGGCGUAGGCUCGGGCCACGUAGCUCCUAAAUUGAAGGGCAAUGCGUAAGGCUGGCUUCACAGAGCAACGAAAACCUUCAGCUUCGGACAGUGGAAGGAUAACGGGCCGGUUGCCAUCUUGGCCCAUUAAAGCUCGAUGGGCUAGCUCUUAAUUGAACAAUCAUUUUU